ACUUAAAUUGAAGAGUUUGAUCAUGGCUCAGAUUGAACGCUGGCGGCAGGCCUAACACAUGCAAGUCGAGCGGUAGCACAGAGAGCUUGCUCUCGGGUGACGAGCGGCGGACGGGUGAGUAAUGUCUGGGAAACUGCCUGAUGGAGGGGGAUAACUACUGGAAACGGUAGCUAAUACCGCAUAACGUCGCAAGACCAAAGUGGGGGACCUUCGGGCCUCAUGCCAUCAGAUGUGCCCAGAUGGGAUUAGCUGGUAGGUGGGGUAACGGCUCACCUAGGCGACGAUCCCUAGCUGGUCUGAGAGGAUGACCAGCCACACUGGAACUGAGACACGGUCCAGACUCCUACGGGAGGCAGCAGUGGGGAAUAUUGCACAAUGGGCGCAAGCCUGAUGCAGCCAUGCCGCGUGUGUGAAGAAGGCCUUCGGGUUGUAAAGCACUUUCAGCGGGGAGGAAGGC
This 457-nucleotide ribosomal RNA is filed under the name Klebsiella sp. HMSC16C06. Its description in RNAcentral is "bacterial SSU rRNA". It matches the Rfam family "Bacterial small subunit ribosomal RNA", at positions 1 to 452 of the family's 1533-position model. Lineage: Bacteria; Pseudomonadati; Pseudomonadota; Gammaproteobacteria; Enterobacterales; Enterobacteriaceae. The record is from RNAcentral.